UGUCGAUGAAGAGCGCAGCAAACUGUGGGAAUUCAUGUGAACUGCAUGCUCAUUUGAACAUCGACGUCUUGAACGCACAUUGCGGCCACGGGUUAACCCGUGGCUACGUCUGUCCGAGGGUCG
Molecule: ribosomal RNA, 123 nt
Filed under: Pseudoplagioporus labiatus
Lineage: Eukaryota; Metazoa; Platyhelminthes; Trematoda; Plagiorchiida; Opecoelidae
Also listed under: 1 other name
Description: partial 5.8S ribosomal RNA
Rfam family: 5.8S ribosomal RNA
About the family: 5.8S ribosomal RNA (5.8S rRNA) is a component of the large subunit of the eukaryotic ribosome. It is transcribed by RNA polymerase I as part of the 45S precursor that also contains 18S and 28S rRNA.
Source: RNAcentral